Molecule: long non-coding RNA, 237 nt
Filed under: Elaeis guineensis (African oil palm)
Lineage: Eukaryota; Viridiplantae; Streptophyta; Magnoliopsida; Arecales; Arecaceae
Description: long non-coding RNA (EGUI_LNC023457)
Source: RNAcentral
AUCGACGGUCAACUACGAGCCACAUGCGCACCACAGGAGAUCCAUCCUCAAAAUUAUAACCUUGGUGUCAAUCAUGCAAGAGAAAAGCUCAUCCGAUACAAUGCAAGACAGCCCAGCGCAAUCAACGCUCGCUGUCAGCUAGCAAGCGAGUGAGACCCGUUUUCUCGCAUGUAGCACCCUUCCCAUCGAGCCCAGACAGUACCACCCCGGAUGUUGGGUCGGUUAACCACGGCAUCG